This 604-nucleotide long non-coding RNA is filed under the name Piliocolobus tephrosceles (Ugandan red Colobus). RNAcentral's name for it is "lncRNA (ENSPTEG00000006575.1)". Lineage: Eukaryota; Metazoa; Chordata; Mammalia; Primates; Cercopithecidae. The record is from RNAcentral.
UUUAUAUAUAUUAACAGAACUCUAUUAGAUGUAUUUAGACUUUUUAAUGAUUCUUCCUGGUUCCUGAUAAGCUAAGACAAUAAUUUUAUUUUUGACAGAGUGAUUUCUUCUGACUUGAGCCUGCAGUGUGCUGUGAGAGAUCCAACACCAGAUUAUCUCAACUUUGGUCUCCUGGGACCACUCAUUGGUGACAGUCAGAAAGGCAUCUGAUCUCCUGGUGUUAAAAUCUGUCGCCAUACUGAGGAAGGCCCAGAGAUCCCAGGCAUUGAGUGACUGCAUACUGUGAGUUAGUUUUUUAAUCUCUUGAAAGGGUUAAAUUGUGUAAAUUAUGAUUCAAAAUGCAAAGCUGUAUCCUAGGUAGGUUUCUGUGUGUUUAUAUAUAUUGUAUUUGCUAAGUAGAAAAAUAAGCUUUGUCAUGGGGUAGCCAUUUCCAUUUUUAACUCUUGAUGAAUGUGUAUGUUACUGAAAAGAAAGCUAUGCACCCAUUUUAAUUAAAAAAAAAAUUCGGUUCUCUUUUUUAAUGACUGAUUAAACGGAAACCUUAUUUAAGUGUAAGACAUUUAGUAAAACAAAACAGAACAAAACAGGACAUAUGAUAAUGGAG